This 253-nucleotide ribosomal RNA is filed under the name uncultured bacterium. RNAcentral's name for it is "partial 16S ribosomal RNA". It matches the Rfam family "Bacterial small subunit ribosomal RNA", at positions 524 to 776 of the family's 1533-position model. The record is from RNAcentral.
UACGUAGGGUGCAAGCGUUGUCCGGAAUUAUUGGGCGUAAAGAGCUCGUAGGCGGCUUGUCGCGUCGUCCGUGAAAACCUGCGGCUCAACUGCAGGCUGGCGGUCGAUACGGGCAGGCUGGAGUUCGGUAGGGGAGACUGGAAUUCCUGGUGUAGCGGUGAAAUGCGCAGAUAUCAGGAGGAACACCGGUGGCGAAGGCGGCGUUCUGGACUGUAACUGACACUGAUGAACGAAAGCCAGGGGAGCAAACGGG